GUGUUAGUAUGUCUGUGUCAGUAUGUCUGUUUGUGUAUGUAUGUCAGUAUGUCUGUGUGUCUAUGACAGACAUACUGACAUACACACACACACAGACAUACUGACACAUACACA
This 114-nucleotide microRNA precursor is filed under the name Pelobates cultripes (western spadefoot toad). Lineage: Eukaryota; Metazoa; Chordata; Amphibia; Anura; Pelobatidae. The record is from RNAcentral.